Molecule: ribosomal RNA, 510 nt
Filed under: Listeria monocytogenes
Lineage: Bacteria; Bacillati; Bacillota; Bacilli; Caryophanales; Listeriaceae
Description: partial 23S ribosomal RNA
Rfam family: Bacterial large subunit ribosomal RNA
Source: RNAcentral
GACGGUAACAGCCCGGUAGUUGAAAUGGCUUUCCCUCCAGAGUGGAUCCUGAGUACGGCGGAACACGUGAAAUUCCGUCGGAAUCCGGGAGGACCAUCUCCCAAGGCUAAAUACUCCCUAGUGACCGAUAGUGAACCAGUACCGUGAGGGAAAGGUGAAAAGCACCCCGGAAGGGGAGUGAAACAGUUCCUGAAACCGUGUGCCUACAAGUAGUUAGAGCCCGUUAAUGGGUGAUAGCGUGCCUUUUGUAGAAUGAACCGGCGAGUUACGAUUUGUUGCAAGGUUAAGCGGAAAAAGCGGAGCCGUAGCGAAAGCGAGUCUGAAUAGGGCGCAUAAGUAACAGGUCGUAGACCCGAAACCAGGUGAUCUACCCAUGUCCAGGAUGAAGGUAAGGUAAUACUUACUGGAGGUCCGAACCCACGCACGUUGAAAAGUGCGGGGAUGAGGUGUGGGUAGCGGAGAAAUUCCAAUCGAACUUGGAGAUAGCUGGUUCUCUCCGAAAUAGCUUUA